Acanthosepion pharaonis is the source of this 113-nucleotide non-coding RNA. Lineage: Eukaryota; Metazoa; Mollusca; Cephalopoda; Sepiida; Sepiidae. The record is from the annotation of a GenBank genome assembly.
UAUGGCCACAUCACAUUGAAAAACCAGUUCCUGUACGAUCACCAAAGUUAAGCAUCAUUGAGCCUGGUUAGUACCUAGAUGGGUGAGCAUUUGGAAAUACCAGGUACUGUAAG